CCUGGCCAUUUGAUCUAAAUCCUGAAUCAAGCUCUACGUUCCUUUCUCAUUUUCUUUCUCUGUAGAAACGGGCAGGGAGCACCCGAGUCAAUGUCAGUUAGUGAUGGCUUUUCUGAUAUUUGGAAGAAACAUAUUCUAACAAAUAGAACUGUGCACACUGCAAGAUGAGUGCCUGUGCACUGGGAGUUAAAGCAGCAAAACAAAAAAGCAUUCUAAUAAGCCUGGGAAUGGAGAGAAAUUACCUUGAAAUGAACACUCCUGAAAUGGCCACCCUGUUACAGGUGAGGCAGAUAAAAUCAACUGACAUUUUGAGAUCCA
This 318-nucleotide long non-coding RNA is filed under the name Vulpes vulpes (red fox). Its description in RNAcentral is "lncRNA (ENSVVUG00000014049.1)". The record is from RNAcentral. Lineage: Eukaryota; Metazoa; Chordata; Mammalia; Carnivora; Canidae.